RNAcentral lists this ribosomal RNA (262 nucleotides) under uncultured bacterium. RNAcentral describes it as "partial 16S ribosomal RNA". It matches the Rfam family "Bacterial small subunit ribosomal RNA", at positions 92 to 354 of the family's 1533-position model. The record is from RNAcentral.
CGACCGGCGCACGGGUGAGUAACACGUAUCCAACCUGCCGUCUACUCUUGGACAGCCUUCUGAAAGGAAGAUUAAUACAAGAUGGCAUCAUGAGUCCGCAUGUUCACAUGGUUAAAGGUAUUCCGGUAGACGAUGGGGAUGCGUUCCAUUAGAUAGUAGGCGGGGUAACGGCCCACCUAGUCUUCGAUGGAUAGGGGUUCUGAGAGGAAGGUCCCCCACAUUGGAACUGAGACACGGUCCAAACUCCUACGGAAGGCAGCAG